Molecule: transfer RNA, 68 nt
Filed under: Marmota monax (woodchuck)
Lineage: Eukaryota; Metazoa; Chordata; Mammalia; Rodentia; Sciuridae
Description: tRNA.Ala
Source: RNAcentral
GGAUUAUGGCUCAGCGGUAGAGCACUCGCUUAGCAUGUGCGGGACUCUGAGUUCGAUCCUCAGCACCA